GGAACAUGGCGUCCGCUACUCGCAUCAUCCAGAAGCUGCGGAACUGGGCGUCUGGGCAAGACCUGCAGGCGAAGCUGCAGUUGCGCUACCAGGAGAUCGCCAAGCGGUGAGCAGGCCCUGCUUGCUGCCAGCCCCACCAUGUCCUUCCACCACACCUAAAUCUGAGGCUGGUCGUGGUGGUACAACCUUUAAGCUCAGCACUCAGGAGACAGAGGCAGUCUGAUUGCUGUGAAUUCAAGGCCUCUUGAUUUAUGUGGACCCAGCCUCCUCCUAAGCUGCCUGUGGGCCCCAGUCACAAGCUGUCUAACAAUUACUACUGCACUCGUGAUGGCCGGCGGGAAGUUGUGCCUCCCUCAGUCAUCAUGUCUUCACUGAAGGCUCUGGUGUCGGGCAAAACAGCUGAGAGCUGUGGCAGCCACUGAGAAGAAGGCAGUGACGCCUGCUCCUCCAAUGAAGAGGUGGGAGCUGUCCAAGGACCAGCCGUACCUGUGACACUGCCCAAGGCUACUUUGGUCCCCCAGGACCAUCCGACUGCUUUUCCGCCUUGGAUUUCCUCUGGAAAGAGUGUGACCUAAUUUAUAACAAAUACAGAGCUCGCAUUAUUUCCAUUCUGUCUUUUCUUAGUAUUUAUUGAUUUGAUCUGUUAUUACUGUCUGUGGAGGGUGUGAAUACAUGCUGCAGCCUGUAUGGAGGUGGGAGGACAACUUUGGGAAUUGGUUUUCUUCUGCUUUGUUGCAUCAGGGUUUUGUUUUUAUUAUGCUGUGUUAUUCAGGCUAGUUGGCCGCAGAGUUUCUGGGCAGUGCUGCUGUCUGUUCCUCCCACCCUGCUGUAGGAGUGAUGGGAUUAUAGACUUGAGCUACUGCAUGUCGUUUUUGGGUUCUGGGGAUGGAACUCAGGUGUCAGCCUUUUUUUUUUUUUUUUUUGGUUUUUCGAGACAGGGUUUCUCUGUGGUUUUGGAGCCUAUCCUGGAACUAGCUCUUGUAGACCAGGCUGGUCUCGAACUCACAGAGAUCCGCCUGCCUCUGCCUCCCGAGUGCUGGGAUUAAAGGCGUGCGCCACCACCGCCCGGCAGGUGUCAGCCUUUUGAAGCGAGCACUUUUACCUGUGAGCCAUCCUGGCAGCCUACCUUUUUAAGAUGAGGUCUUAGUGGGUAUUGUUGGUCUAUGCCUAUAAUCUUUGUACUCAGUAAGCUAGUAGAUGAAUAUCACUGUUGUCCUGUGGAAUGA
This is an RNA transcript of Chionomys nivalis (European snow vole), 1226 nucleotides long. It is a transcript of the gene named NADH:ubiquinone oxidoreductase subunit A7, with no coding region annotated. The record is from RefSeq and is a predicted model, not a curated record. The transcript has 4 exons. NCBI's taxonomy places the organism in Eukaryota, Metazoa, Chordata, Mammalia, Rodentia, Cricetidae.